Molecule: ribosomal RNA, 540 nt
Filed under: uncultured Bacillus sp.
Lineage: Bacteria; Bacillati; Bacillota; Bacilli; Caryophanales; Bacillaceae
Description: bacterial SSU rRNA
Rfam family: Bacterial small subunit ribosomal RNA
Source: RNAcentral
UGACAACCCUAGAGAUAGGGCGUCCCUUUCGGGGGACAGAGUGACAGGUGGUGCAUGGUUGUCGUCAGCUCGUGUCGUGAGAUGUUGGGUUAAGUCCCGCAACGAGCGCAACCCUUGAUCUUAGUUGCCAGCAUUCAGUUGGGCACUCUAAGGUGACUGCCGGUGACAAACCGGAGGAAGGUGGGGAUGACGUCAAAUCAUCAUGCCCCUUAUGACCUGGGCUACACACGUGCUACAAUGGAUAGAACAAAGGGCAGCGAAGCCGCGAGGUGAAGCCAAUCCCAUAAAUCUAUUCUCAGUUCGGAUUGCAGGCUGCAACUCGCCUGCAUGAAGCCGGAAUCGCUAGUAAUCGCGGAUCAGCAUGCCGCGGUGAAUACGUUCCCGGGCCUUGUACACACCGCCCGUCACACCACGAGAGUUUGUAACACCCGAAGUCGGUGAGGUAACCUUUUGGAGCCAGCCGCCUAAGGUGGGACAGAUGAUUGGGGUGAAGUCGUAACAAGGUAGCCGUAUCGGAAGGUGCGGCUAGAUCACCUCCUU